RNAcentral lists this ribosomal RNA (459 nucleotides) under uncultured bacterium. RNAcentral describes it as "partial 16S ribosomal RNA". It matches the Rfam family "Bacterial small subunit ribosomal RNA", at positions 338 to 795 of the family's 1533-position model. The record is from RNAcentral.
CCUACGGGAGGCAGCAGUGAGGAAUAUUGGUCAAUGGCCGAGAGGCUGAACCAGCCAAGUCGCGUGAGGGAAGACGGCCCUACGGGUUGUAAACCUCUUUUGUCGGGGAGCAAAGCGAGUCACGUGUGACUCAUUGAGAGUCCCCGAAGAAAAAGCAUCGGAUAACUCCGUGCCAGCAGCAGCGGUAAUACGGAGGAUGCGCGCGUUAUCCGGAUUUAGUGGGUUUAAGGGGUGCGCAGGCGGAGGUGCAAGUCAGCGGUCAAAUUGCGGGGCUCAACCCCGUACUGCCGUUGAAACUGCAUCCCUUGAGUGCGCGAGAAGUAUGCGGAAUGCGUGGUGUAGCGGUGAAAGGCAUAGAGAUCACGCAGAACUCCGAGUGCGAAGGCAGCAUACCGGCGCGCAACUGACGCUCAUGCACGAAAGCGUGGGUAUCGAACAGGAUUAGAUACCCGGGUAGUC